Hevea brasiliensis (rubber tree) is the source of this 673-nucleotide long non-coding RNA. RefSeq lists it as uncharacterized. The record is from RefSeq and is a predicted model, not a curated record. NCBI's taxonomy places the organism in Eukaryota, Viridiplantae, Streptophyta, Magnoliopsida, Malpighiales, Euphorbiaceae. The transcript has 2 exons.
GGAAAAACUUGCAGAGCAGGCAAAAUGGAUGGAGGAAGAGCGUAUGUGUCAAAUUCAAGAGGAGAAAGAGGAUAUCUCUUUGUUCAAAAGGUUACCAAGAAAGGUGAUUUGAGUGAAUUCUACUUCAAUCUUGGAAAAAAUGUUGCAUAUGGUGCAAAAGGCAUAGAGUCAAGGAAGCAAGAAAAACAAACUGAACUCAGGAAGCCAGUGAAGUUGGAUGAUUAAGUGUCGGCUGGUACAUAUAAUAGAGUUGAUCCUUUGCAAGGCUCCUCAAAGUCAAUUAUUGAGGCUGAAAGAGGAGCAUCAUUCUUCUGUUCCUCCUCUUAGGAGAAAUUCCGAGUCCUUAGAUCUUAAACCAGUUCCUGAUGACCCAGUUUUGGACACACUGGUACAAGAAAAAUCAUCAUCUGAACGAGGGUCAGCUAAUCAACCAAAGCAAGACCAUCACAAACGAAAUGAGGAUGCAGUAGCUACAAGCUAAAGAACGUUUUUUGACACGGAAGAAGGCAAAGCAGCAACCGUGAAUGUUCUUUCUCUCUGCAUGUAACGUGAUUGAAAUUCCAAACGAAUCAUUAUUAUAUUUGGGUUAAAGCUGGAUGUAAAUUCAGCAAUGAAAGACGGAAUAUUUUUAAAUAAAAAAUAUUAAAAAUUAACAUAAAAUAAAAUUUUUUUU